CUCUCCUGUUCCUUUUUAUUUUUCCCUACCAUGGAGGACGAGGACCUGUCAUUGCAUUUGGAGCCCACUCUAAUCCAGGAUGAUCUCAGCUCAAGAUCCUCAACUUAAUUACAUCUGCAUGUAUGCGGUGGCAGCUUUCUGGCGAUUUCUAGGCAAUGUACAGGAGGAAAGAAAGAAGGAAGGGGAGGGCACGGAGAAGCUCCGGAAGGCUGGAUGCUUGGGGAAGGAGGUCAGGAGGCAGGACCGGCCGGCCGCCCUCCAGACGUCCAGAUGUCCAGAUGUCCAGCCAGCCGGAGACCGGUCUGCACCUGUCACAGGUGAUUCAGGGACAAAACUUUCCUGAAACAACAAGGCUCAAAUUAUAUCAUAAUUACAGACAUCCGUCGGCAAGCCCGCGUUUUAUUUCAAGGCCGGGAGCUGAAAUGAUCGUGUUCAGUCACGCACACCAUCUAUGACAAGACGGAGUCUCGCUCUGUCACCCAGGCCGGAGUGCAAUGGCGCGAUCUCAGCUCACUGCAACCUCCACCUCCCGGGUUCAAGCGAUUCUCCUGCCUCAGCCUCCCGAGCAGCUGGGACUACAGGUUCCCCCCACCACGCCUGGCUAAUGUUUGUAUUUUUAGUAGAGACGGGGUUUCACCCCGUUGGCCAGGAUGGUCUCGAACUCCUGACCUCGUGAUCCACCCACUUCAGCCUCCCAAAGUGCUGGGAUGACAGGCGUGAGCCACCGCGCCCAGCCCUAUUUUUUUCUUUUUUGAGACGGAGUCUCGCUCUGUCGCCCAGGCUGGAGUGCAGUGGCACGAUCUCGGCUCACUGCAAGCUCCGCCUCCCAGGUUCACGCCAUUCUCCUGCCUCAGCCUCCCGAGUAGCUGGGACUACAGACGCCCGCCAGCACGCCCGGCUAAUUUUUUUUUUUGUAUUUUUAGUAGAGAAGGGGUUUCACCGUGUUACCCAGGAUGGUAUUGAUCUCCCGACCUCGUGAUCCACCCGCCUCGGCCUCCCAAAGUGCUGAGAUGACAGGCGUGAGCCACCGCGCCCAGCCCUAUUUUUUUCUUUUUUGAGACAGUCUCGCUUUGUCGUACAGGCUGGAGUGCAGGGGUGCAAUCAGGGUUCACUGCAGCCUCGAACUCCCAGGCUCAAGCGAUCCUCCUGCCUCAGCCUCCCAAGUAGCUGGAACCACAGCUCCGCACCACCACGCCCCGCUAUUUUUUGUGUUUUUUGUAGGGACGGGGUUGCACCAUGUUGCUCAGGCUGGUCUGGAACUCCUGUGCUCAAGCGAUCCGCCAUCCUGGGCCUCCCAAAGUGCUGGGGUUACAGGCAUGCGGCCCCGCGCCGGCCCAGUCUUUCCCUCUCCCACUGCUUCCCAGGGCUUUGCCUGUCUAACCGGGCGCGGGCAGUUGUCCUGUGUCCUGGCUCAGCGCGGACCUACGCGGGGUGAUCACACAGAUGCCCCCAGCUCUCUCUACCUCCCGCGAAGGCGCUGAGCCCCCUGAUCCCUGCCCGGGCACUGGCGCAAGGUCGCCUGCGAGCGCCAGGCCUUCCUGCCCGGUGGGAGACGGGAGGGCCCGCUCUCUGGCUCGGUCUGGUUCCCGGGUCAGCCAGCAGCCGCGCCUCUUCCUCCCGGACCCGGGACCCGCCCCUUGGCCGGGGCCGCGGCCGCAGCGCCCCCGGAGGGGCCGCCCUGCGCAUGCCCGAGGGAGGCGGGUGACCUGGGCGCGCGCUGCCCGAGGCCGGGGGGCGGUGGGGACAGCACAGGCGGGGCGGCCGAGCCGAGACCUUCCCACCCCGCCCCACGCGUGGUUGGGGACCUGACGCGCCGUCGUGAGUGGGGCGGGUGCAGGUGUCCCUGGGGGCCGGGGGCAGACACUGGUGCGGGACGACCUGCUCCCGAGGGGGUCCGCAGGCCACACCCAGAGAAACUGGGGCGCCUCCAGUCACCGCCGCGGUCCGCCCCGCCCGAGGCUUUGACCCCCUGAAUCAGCGUCGGGGCAGGGAUCCGCGUGGGGUGGAAGAGGCUGGGAAACUGGGGAGUCCCGGGCCUCCUCUGGAGCCGCCCGCCCUUGGCUGGCUGGUCCUUCUCUUCCGCGGCUCCCGCCGGGCUGGGCCCUGGGCCGCCCUCACUCCCUGCCCUCUGCAGCCUCCCUUGCGUUUGUCAUUCACUCUGCCAGGCUCUCCUUCUGCCUCCGCAUGCCCAACGAUCCGGAGAAAAACACGGACCAUGACAUCAAAAGGCCUUGGCAAAGGAAUCGUGAUUAUUGUGAUACAAGAUUCUGCACCUCAAAGGGGAACCCUGUAGUGAGUUUUGGAAAACGUACAAAGCCUGACUUACAGUAUGCCUGUUAUCUGUGGCGUUUCAUCUGGGGAACUUACUUUUCCUUGAUAGGGUAAACUAUUCUCAUCCAGAGUAUGUCCCUCAGUCUGUAAAAGUCCAUGGUGCCCUACAUCUAUUAGGGUAGUGAGGAAGGGCAGUGGGCAUUGGAUCUGCUUCUUUGAAAGCCCCCACCUGUGUUUAGCUUCUGUUAGAGGCCUUUGAACCAGAGCAACUCCAUCUUGGGUAGGCGCUUGGUAAAAUGAGGCUGAGACCUACUGGGCUGUGUUCCCAGGCGGUUGAGGCAUUCUAAGUCACAGGAUGAGAUGAGAGGUCGGCACAAGCAGUAAAGAAGCCGCGGCCAAAACCCACCAAAACCAAGAUGGUGAUGCGAAUGACCUCUGGUCGUCCUCACUGCUACACUCCCACCAGCGCCAAGACAGCUUACAAAUGCCGUGGCAACGCCAGAAUGUUACCCUAUAUGGUCUAAAAAGGGGAGGCAUGAAUAAUCCACCCCUUCUUUAGCAUAUAAUCAAUAAAUAACCAUAAAAAUGAGCAACCAGCAGCCCUCGGGGCUGCUCUAUGGAGUAGCCGUUGUUUUAUUUCUUUACUUUUUUUUUUUUUUUUCGAGAGGGAGUCUUGCUCUUGCUCAGGCUGGAGUGCAGUGGCGUGAUCUCGGCUCACUGCAAUCUCCUUCUCCUGGGUUCAAGCGAUUCUCCUGCCUCAGCUUUCGAGUGGCUGGGACUACAGGUGCCCACCACCAUGCCGGCUUUUUUUUUUUUUUUUUUUUU
This is a long non-coding RNA of Gorilla gorilla gorilla (western lowland gorilla), 3096 nucleotides long. RefSeq lists it as uncharacterized. Lineage: Eukaryota; Metazoa; Chordata; Mammalia; Primates; Hominidae. The record is from RefSeq and is a predicted model, not a curated record. The transcript is spliced from 4 exons.